This 253-nucleotide ribosomal RNA is filed under the name uncultured bacterium. RNAcentral's name for it is "partial 16S ribosomal RNA". It matches the Rfam family "Bacterial small subunit ribosomal RNA", at positions 524 to 776 of the family's 1533-position model. The record is from RNAcentral.
UACGUAGGGUGCAAGCGUUGUCCGGAAUUAUUGGGCGUAAAGAGCUCGUAGGCGGUUUGUCGCGUCUGCUGUGAAAUCCGGAGGCUCAACCUCCGGCCUGCAGUGGGUACGGGCAGACUAGAGUGCGGUAGGGGAGAUUGGAAUUCCUGGUGUAGCGGUGAAAUGCGCAGAUAUCAGGAGGAACACCAGUGGCGAAGGCGCCGCUCUGGGCCGUGACUGACGCUGAGGAGCGAAAGCGUGGGUAGCAAACAGG